RNAcentral lists this ribosomal RNA (3297 nucleotides) under bacterium. Its description in RNAcentral is "23S ribosomal RNA". It matches the Rfam family "Bacterial large subunit ribosomal RNA". The record is from RNAcentral.
AAUAAAUAAUAAUAAGUGCGUAUAACGGAUGCCUUGGCACAUAACUCCGAUGAAGGACGUAGUAGACUGCGAUAAGCUUCGGCGAGCUGUCAAUCAAGCUUUGACCCGGAGAUCUCCGAAUGGGAUAACCCUUCCGAUGUUACAAUCGGAAACUCCAUGCUGAACACAUAGGCAUGGGAGAGGAUACUCAGUGAACUGAAAUAUCUCAGUAGCUGAGGAAAAGAAAUCAACAGAGAUUCCCCCAGUAGCGACGAGCGAAGAGGGACUAGGCCAAACCCCCGCCUUGGCGGGGGGGUUGUAGGACUCCAAUAUCGGUCAUGCAUAGUUAGCUGAAGUCUUUGGAAAGAGACGCCAUAGUGGGUAAUAGCCCCGUAAGCGAAAACUUUGUAUGAUCGUAGGAGUAUCCUGAGUAGGGUCGGACACGUGAAAUCCGGCUUGAAUCUGGGAGGACCACCUUCCAAGCCUAAACAGGUUAUGUGACCGAUAGUGAACUAGUACCGUGAGGGAAAGGUGAAAAGUACCCCGGGUAGGGGGAUGAAAUAGUACCUGAAAUUAUACGCACACAACGAGUCGGAGCCCCGCCUUGGCGGGGUGACGGCGUACUUUUUGUAGAACGGGCCAACGAGUUAGCUGUAUGGCGCAAGGCUAAGGGAGUAACACCCGGAGCCGCAGUGAAAGCGAGGGUUAAUAGCCCGAUUGAGUGUCAUGCACUAGACCCGAAACCGAGUGAGCUUACCAUGUCCAGGCUGAAGCAGCAGUAAAAUGCUGUGGAGGGCCGAACCAGGGAGUGUUGCAAAACUCUUGGAUGAGGUGUGGUAAGUGCUGAAAUUGCUAUCGAACUCGGAGAUAGCUGGUUCUCCUCGAAAUAGCUUUAGGGCUAGCGUCGAGUGUUAAAUAGCAGGGGUAGAGCUCUGUCAAGGCUAGGGCCCGAAAUAAGGGUACCAAACCUUAAUAAACUUCGAAUACUGCUAUGUAUUUCUCGGCAGUCAGACAGUGACAUCUAAGUGCCAUUGUCAAAAGGGAAACAGCCCAGAUCGUUGUUUAAGGUCCCAAAUAGGUUCUCAGUGGUAAAGGCUGUAGAAUUGCGUAGACAACCAGGAUGUUGGCUUAGAAGCAGCCACUCAUUCAAAGAGUGCGUAAUAGCUCACUGGUCGAGUGAUUCUGCGCCGAAAAUGUAACGGGGCUUAAGAACCUAACCGAAAACACGAAUUCUUCGCCAGGACUUUGUAUGUCAGGCGUCCCCCUUCGCUCAUUUUAUGAGAUACGGGAGGACAUUCUUCGCCUUCAAUCUUGAAGAGCGGCCUGGCAUUCGAAGCCUUGGCGAAGAGUGGUAGAGGAGCGUUGCGUAGGCCGAUGAAGUCGGAUCGUAAGAUCCGGUGGAGGUAUCGCAAGUGAGAAUGUUGGCAUAAGUAACAUAAGCAAGGUGAAAAUCCUUGCCACCGUAAGCCCAAGGUUUCCCCAGCCAUGUCAAUCAACUGGGGGUUAGUCGGUCCUAAGAUGAGGCUGAAAAGCGUAGUCGAUGGAUAACAGGUUAAUAUUCCUGUACAAUACAUGUUUCGCCAGAGCAAUACAGGAGGGCGAAUAAAUGCUAUAGAUUGUCCUUCGGGAGAAUUUUGAUCGUUUCUUCAACUGAAUGUGGCGCUAGCGGAGGGGGGACGCGGUAGGAUGGUAGUAGCUGGUUAAUGAUUCCAGUACAAGCAGUAAGUUUAUGUUCUCUUAGGUAAAUCCGGGAGAAUUCGCGAGCUGUUAUGUCAAGGCUGUUUCUUCGGAUUCGGCCAAGUAUUUCCCAUUCUGCUGACUAGAAAAUCCUCGUCGCGAGAAGCAUGUGUUACCGUACCGCAAUCCAACACAGGUGGGCGGGUAGAGUAUACUCAGGUGAUCGGAUUAACCACUGUUAAGGAACUCGGCAACAGAAGCGUCCGUAACUUCGGGAUAAGGACUGCCUUGUUAGGUUUUAUAUCUGGCAAGGCCGCAGCGAAUGAACCCAAGCAACUGUUUAUCAAAAACACAGGUCUGUGCAAAGUCGUAAGACGACGUAUACAGGCUGAUGCCUGCCCAGUGCCAGAAGGUCACGAGGAGGGGUGCAAGCUCUGAAUCUAAGCCCUGGUGAACGGCGGCCGUAACUAUGACGGUCCUAAGGUAGCGAAAUUCCUUGUCGGGUAAGUUCCGACCCGCAUGAAUGGCAUAAUGAUUUGGGUACUGUCUCAACAGUGGUUCCGGUGAAAUUGCAGAAACGGUAAAAAUGCCGUUUAGACACAGUAGGACGGAAAGACCCCGUGCAGCUUUACUAUAGCUUGACGUUGGCACGAGGCAUGACUUGCGCAGGAUAGGUGGGAGGCUUUGAAGUCGCGACUUUGGUUGCGGUGGAGCCACCCUUGAGAUACCACCCUUGUUAUGCUUUGUGUCUAACCUGGACCUUCAAUUGUUCUUCAACCCCCGCUAGGCGGGGGCAAGUUCGAAGGCACUGAACAAUCAGUUAUUGGUUAGAUGUACGUUAUUGUCUUUUUUUGUCUGAUAGAGGUUCAUUUGCCUCUCUAAAUAAUUAAAUGACGAUGACGUAACAUUUAUCAUGAAUCAUGAUCAAACCAAUAACUACAACUGUUCAGUGUCCUGGAGACCAAUUGCAGGUUCAGGGACAACGUUUGGUGGGUAGUUUGACUGGGGCGGUCGCCUCCUAAAGAGUAACGGAGGCGCGCAAUGGUUGGCUUCGUCCGGAUGGAAAUCGGACUGAAAGUGUAUUCGCAUAAGCCAGCCUGACUGUGAGACUUACAAGUCGAACAGGCACGAAAGUGGGUGAAAGUGAUCCGGUAGUUCCACGUGGGUGGGCUAUCGCUCAACGGAUAAAAGUUACGCCGGGGAUAACAGGCUGAUAGUUUCCAAGAGCUCACAUCGACGAAACUGUUUGGCACCUCGAUGUCGGCUCGUCGCAUCCUUGGGGUGAAGCAUCUCCCAAGGGUAUGGCUGUUCGCCAUUUAAAGCGGUACGCGAGCUGGGUUCAGAACGUCGUGAGACAGUUCGGUCCAUAUCCUCUGUGUCCGUAGGAAGAUUGAGAAAAUUUGUCCCUAGUACGAGAGGACCGGGAUGAACGAACCUCUGGUGCGCCAGUUGUCGUGUCAACGGCAUAGCUGGGUAGCUACGUUCGGUUGUGAUAACCGCUGAAAGCAUCUAAGCGGGAAGCCAUUUUCAAGAUGAAUUUUCCCUAUGAGCCUCCCGGGAGACUACCGGGUUGAUAGGCUGCAGGUGUAAGCCCAGUAAUGGGUUAGCCGAGCAGUACUAAUAGGCCAUUGUAUUUAUUUU